Molecule: long non-coding RNA, 1056 nt
Filed under: Mytilus galloprovincialis (Mediterranean mussel)
Lineage: Eukaryota; Metazoa; Mollusca; Bivalvia; Mytilida; Mytilidae
Source: RNAcentral
UCCACUCGGCAGGGCUCGACAUUAACGCUUGUCCGAUUGUCCGGGACAAGUGCACACAGGUGUCGGGCAAGUAGAUUCACCAUACUACUUGUCCGAUGGGACAAGUGAAAAAUCAAGGUCAGAUAAAAAUAGAUCAAAUUCAAGACUUAUACAUUCCCAAAAAUAUGAAUGAUUGUUUUAUUGAUCAUACUUAAUGAAAUAAUUAAUCAUUGAUUGAACCAGAGACAUAUAAAACUUGUAUAAUAUGUCUCUGAUUUGGAGUAUUGAACAUGCUGGCAGCCAUUGACCAGGGGGAUAUAAGUAAGGGGAAAGAAACCAAUGUUAAUGUAUCUUCUUAGUAUAAGCUUCCUUGAAUUAGGAGCACCUCCAUAUGGAGUUUUACCUAAACUUUAAAAUAUUAAAUUAAAGUAUGUUUCAUUUGAUUUUGCUUUUAUGCAUAACAAUACAUUAAAAGAGGUUUUAUUUGAUAAGAUCUAUGACAUGUGAUAUAAAUAUUUAAGAUGAAAAAAAAAAAAAUAUCUAAAAAGGCAGAUUUUUUAGUGAAAUGUGUCAUGUGUGUAUGUACUUCAUGAUCAUAUAUCAAUGUAUAUACAAAUCAAAAUAAAUUGUAAAAGCUUGUUUUGACAUCAUCAAUAAAUUAAAAAGGUUUACUCAUAUACAUGUUCAAGGUGGCCAGGUGUAUUUACAUCCUUGGUUUAACCCAUACCACUACUAAAGAAUGAAUAGGUCCAUUGGGGAACGUAGUGGUUUGGGAAGAAAUGAUGAUUUAAUGAUUGACAAAUGAUAGUGACAUUGAGUCAGAGAACACAGUCUUGCAAAAAAACUUUCAUUCUGAAAUAAUGAAAUGUAUUUUGAUGCGGUAUUCAUAUAACAUUACAAAAUGCUCCUUUUAUUAGGUACAAUCAAAGCCCAAGUGUUAUUAUUGCAUAAAUCAUCAAUAUGUUAGAUUUUCAAUUAUGAAUUCGGACAAGUGAGUUAAGAGUUCGGACAAGCUGAUUUUCCUGCCACUUGUCCGAAGGGACAAGUUAGAAAAAAUGUUAAUGUAGAGGCCUGACU